This 641-nucleotide small RNA is filed under the name Arabidopsis thaliana (thale cress). Its description in RNAcentral is "ATSL287420". Lineage: Eukaryota; Viridiplantae; Streptophyta; Magnoliopsida; Brassicales; Brassicaceae. The record is from RNAcentral.
AAGAAAUCAAAGACAAUAACGUGAAGAAACAAAUCCCACCUAUUAUGUUGCGAUUUGGAUUAAUUUGUCAAAUACAUUAAAAUCUAUAUAUACAUUUUUGCAGCCACUUUGAAAAAUAAAUCCUGGAGUUGAAAUUUAUUUACAGUGGCUGCCACUGGCAUUUAAUAAUUGUUUUUGAUAAUUAGAAAGAAAAUCUUUGAAUUAAAUAUUUGAUAAUCUUCCCAAAAUCUCUCCACAUUAAUUACACGAUUAGUUACUAAAAUAAAACUUCCAAAAUAUUUAAUAUCAUUUAAUUACUACAAAAUUAUCAUUUUUGAUAUUGUUUUUCUACAUGACUAUAAUAAUUCGAUUAUAAUCAUCAAACCGCAAAGAUAUUUGAUAGCAUUUAAUUACUACAAAAUUAAAAAAUAUUUAGACAAUGAUUUAUAAACAUAUCAUAAAUAAAAUCAGUGAGUUUUUUUUACGGGACGGAUUGGCGGGACGGGUUUGACAGGACGUUACUUAAUAACAAUCGUAAACUAUAAAAUAAAAAUAUUUUAUAGAUAAAUAUAAUUUGCAAACUUUUAUAUAUAGUAACUUUAAAAAAUAAAUUGUCUCCGCGGUAUACCGCGGGUUAAAAUCUAGUCUCUUACAUUUUUAUU